This 1052-nucleotide long non-coding RNA is filed under the name Populus trichocarpa (black cottonwood). RNAcentral describes it as "long non-coding RNA (PTRI_LNC000490)". Lineage: Eukaryota; Viridiplantae; Streptophyta; Magnoliopsida; Malpighiales; Salicaceae. The record is from RNAcentral.
UUUACUUUAAGUUUUUUGAGCUUUUUGAGACCUGAAGCCAUGGCUAUCGGGAAGAGACUCUUCAACUUGUUGCAUCCUGUGAUCUCAAGUCGACACAAAUUAGGGAAGCAUGAAGAUUGGAGGUCACUUCCUGACAAUAUCUGAUCCUUUUCAUCAUCAUUAUCCUUAGCAAUGAUUUGCUCCAAUUCCUCACAGUCUGAUAUCUCUAGAAUUUUCAGUUGAAUUAGACUAGCAAUCAUGCUGUUUGUGAAUACAUGUGUCAGUCUCUUACACUCGUUCACCUCCAAAGUAGUCAAAUUGCUCGGCACGAGACCUUUCCAAAUACACCUCAAGUUUGGCAAUAAGUUCAAGUGUAAUGUUUCCAAACUCACGAUUGAAAGUUCAUGCCCACCUCUUCUAUUAGUUAUCAAACAUCCAACUUGCAUUAAAUCUUGUACUCCUUCCAAGUUUUCAAUAGAUAUUUCUUUCAAAUUCAUAAACCUCUACAUCAAAAGAAAACAAGGGUACCAAUUUGUUAGAUGUAAUUCAUAGUAUUUAUUGUGCACUUUUAAAACUAAACGAGAGGCAAGAAAUCAUGUCAAAUAUACAGCACCUCUGAUUGAGCACUCAUUGAACCAUUUGAUGUAGUACCAAAUAUUGUGGUCAGCUUUGGACAUCCAUGCACCUUCAACGUCGACAAACAAGGAAAUAUGAAAUCACAGCAUCCAUGACUGAAGUAGACAAUGCUUGGUAAUUCUUCUAGACUCAGCCACUCCAGAUCAGGGAGCACCAUCUCCUUCUCAACAUUGACAUGUGAAGCAUGAUCACCCUGCCCAAAUACUCCCAAUAAUUGAGAGGAUUCCUUUACUGUAAGUUCUUGGAGCUUUUUGAGACCUGAAGCCAUGGCUAUCGGGAAGAGACUCUUCAACUUGUUGCAUCCUGUGAUCUCAAGUCGACACAAAUUAGGGAAGCAUGAAGAUUGGAGAUCACUUCCUGAAAAUAUCUGAUCCUUUUCAUCAUCAUUAUCCUUAGCAAUGAUUUGCUCCAAUUCCUCACAGUCUGAUAUCAGUAGA